CCUACGGGAGGCAGCAGUGAGGAAUAUUGGUCAAUGGACGAGAGUCUGAACCAGCCAAGUAGCGUGAAGGAUGACUGCCCUAUGGGUUGUAAACUUCUUUUAUAAAGGAAUAAAACGAGGCACGUGUGCCUUUUUGCAUGUACUUUAUGAAUAAGGAUCGGCUAACUCCGUGCCAGCAGCCGCGGUAAUACGGAGGAUCCGAGCUUUAUCCGGAUUUAUUGGGUUUAAAGGGAGCGUAGAUGGGUUGUUAAGUCAGUUGUGAAAGUUUGCGGCUCAACCGUAAAAUUGCAAUUGAUACUGGCAGUCGUGAGUACAGUUGAGGUAAGCGGAAUUCGUGGUGUAGCGGUGAAAUGCUUAGAGAUCACGAAGAACCCCGAUUGCGAAGGCAGCUUACUAAACUGUGACUGACAUUGAUGCUCGAAAGUGUGGGUAUCAAACAGGAUUAGAUACCCCAGUAGUC
Molecule: ribosomal RNA, 460 nt
Filed under: uncultured bacterium
Lineage: Bacteria
Description: partial 16S ribosomal RNA
Rfam family: Bacterial small subunit ribosomal RNA
Source: RNAcentral